This 27-nucleotide non-coding RNA is filed under the name Bombyx mori (domestic silkworm). The record is from RNAcentral. Lineage: Eukaryota; Metazoa; Arthropoda; Insecta; Lepidoptera; Bombycidae.
AGAUGCGUAAGCAACGCCGGCUCACUU